This 419-nucleotide ribosomal RNA is filed under the name uncultured bacterium. RNAcentral's name for it is "bacterial SSU rRNA". It matches the Rfam family "Bacterial small subunit ribosomal RNA", at positions 30 to 449 of the family's 1533-position model. The record is from RNAcentral.
AUUGAACGCUGGCGGCAUGCCUUACUCAUGCAAGUCGAACGGCAGCACGGGAGCAAUCCUGGUGGCGAGUGGCGAACGGGUGAGUAAAGUAUCGGAACGUGCCCAGUCGUGGGGGAUAACGUAGCGAAAGCUACGCUAAUACCGCAUACGAUCUAUGGAUGAAAGCGGGGGAUCGCAAGACCUCGCGCGAUUGGAGCGGCCGAUAUCAGAUUAGGUAGUUGGUGGGGUAAAGGCCCACCAAGCCGACGAUCUGUAGCUGGUCUGAGAGGACGACCAGCCACACUGGGACUGAGACACGGCCCAGACUCCUACGGGAGGCAGCAGUGGGGAAUUUUGGACAAUGGGCGCAAGCCUGAUCCAGCAAUGCCGCGUGCAGGAUGAAGGCCUUCGGGUUGUAAACUGCUUUUGUACGGAGCGAA